AUUGAACGCUGGCGGCAGGCCUAACACAUGCAAGUCGAGCGGUAGAGAGAAGCUUGCUUCUCUUGAGAGCGGCGGACGGGUGAGUAAUGCCUAGGAAUCUGCCUGGUAGUGGGGGAUAACGUUCGGAAAACGGACGCUAAUACCGCAUACGUCCUACGGGAGAAAGCAGGGGACCUUCGGGCCUUGCGCUAUCAGAUGAGCCUAGGUCGGAUUAGCUAGUUGGUGAGGUAAUGGCUCACCAAGGCGACGAUCCGUAACUGGUCUGAGAGGAUGAUCAGUCACACUGGAACUGAGACACGGUCCAGACUCCUACGGGAGGCAGCAGUGGGGAAUAUUGGACAAUGGGCGAAAGCCUGAUCCAGCCAUGCCGCGUGUGUGAAGAAGGUCUUCGGAUUGUAAAGCACUUUAAAGUU
RNAcentral lists this ribosomal RNA (413 nucleotides) under uncultured bacterium. Its description in RNAcentral is "bacterial SSU rRNA". It matches the Rfam family "Bacterial small subunit ribosomal RNA", at positions 30 to 442 of the family's 1533-position model. The record is from RNAcentral.